This 102-nucleotide transfer RNA is filed under the name Rhodocollybia butyracea. It matches the Rfam family "tRNA". Rfam says of the family: Transfer RNA (tRNA) molecules are approximately 80 nucleotides in length. Their secondary structure includes four short double-helical elements and three loops (D, anti-codon, and T loops). Further hydrogen bonds mediate the characteristic L-shaped molecular structure. tRNAs have two regions of fundamental functional importance: the anti-codon, which is responsible for specific mRNA codon recognition, and the 3' end, to which the tRNAs corresponding amino acid is attached (by aminoacyl-tRNA synthetases). tRNAs cope with the degeneracy of the genetic code in two manners: having more than one tRNA (with a specific anti-codon) for a particular amino acid; and 'wobble' base-pairing, i.e. permitting non-standard base-pairing at the 3rd anti-codon position. The record is from Rfam by way of RNAcentral. Lineage: Eukaryota; Fungi; Basidiomycota; Agaricomycetes; Agaricales; Omphalotaceae.
GGCCGCCUGGCGAAAUGGCAUCGCGUCUGACUACGAUAAAACCAUCCGUGAGAACGAAUAAUUGUAAUCAGGAGAUUGCAGGUUCGACCCCUGCGGUGGUCA